UGUUCCUCAAACCAUUCCUGAACAAUUUUUGCAAGGUGGCAGGGCGCAUUAUCCUGCUGAGAGAGGCCACAGCCAACAGGAAACACCAUUACCAUGAAGGGGUGUACGUGCUCUGCAACAAUCUCUAGGUAGGGUGUACGUAUUAAAGUAAUGUCCACAUGAAUGCCAGAACCCAAGGUUUCCCAGCAGAACAUUGCCCAAAGUUUAACACUUACUCCACCAUCCUGCCUUCUUCCUAUAAUGCAUCCUGCUGCCAUCUCUUCCCCAGGUAAACGACACACACAGAGCCAGCCAUCCAACUUAUCUAAAAGAAAAUGUGAUUCAUCAAACCAGACAACCUUCAUCCAUUGCUCCAUGGUUUAGUUCUGACACUCACAUCCCCAUUGACCGCGCUUUUGGAGUUAGACCAUGGUCAUCAUGGGCACUCUGACCAGUCUGUGGCUACGCCGCAACAGACAAAGCAAAUUACGAUGCGUUGUGUGUUCUGACAUCUUUCUAUCACGGCCAGCAUUACGUUUUUCAGCAAUUUGAGCUACAGUAGCUCUUCUGUUUGAUCGGACCAGAUCUUAUGGCUUUUACUGCCCCAGGUGUAUCAAUGAGCCUUGGGCGCCCACGAUCCUGACGCCAGUUCACCAGUUGUCCUACCUCACACCGCUUUUGCUAAGUACUAACCACUGCAUAUUGGAAACAAGACUUGCCGUUUUGGAGAUGCUCCAACCCAGUCGUCUAGCCAUCAU
This is a non-coding RNA of Pelobates cultripes (western spadefoot toad), 737 nucleotides long. NCBI's taxonomy places the organism in Eukaryota, Metazoa, Chordata, Amphibia, Anura, Pelobatidae. The record is from the annotation of a GenBank genome assembly.